GUGGACCAUGGGUUGGCAGAGGUGAAGAGAUGGGUCUUGAGGCGGGACUGGAAGAUGGUGAGGGACACAGAGGUGCAGAUCAAUUGGGAGAGGGAGUUCCAGAGCCUGGGAGCUGCCCUGGAGAAGGCUCUGUCCCCAAAACUGCGGAGGUUGGACUUGUGGAUGGAGAGGAGACCGGCUGAGGUGGAUCUGACGGA
Molecule: long non-coding RNA, 197 nt
Organism: Sander lucioperca (pikeperch)
Lineage: Eukaryota; Metazoa; Chordata; Actinopteri; Perciformes; Percidae
Exons: 3
Source: RefSeq, a predicted model, not a curated record